RNAcentral lists this ribosomal RNA (465 nucleotides) under uncultured Klebsiella sp. RNAcentral's name for it is "bacterial SSU rRNA". It matches the Rfam family "Bacterial small subunit ribosomal RNA", at positions 338 to 795 of the family's 1533-position model. Lineage: Bacteria; Pseudomonadati; Pseudomonadota; Gammaproteobacteria; Enterobacterales; Enterobacteriaceae. The record is from RNAcentral.
CCUACGGGGGGCUGCAGUGGGGAAUAUUGCACAAUGGGCGCAAGCCUGAUGCAGCCAUGCCGCGUGUGUGAAGAAGGCCUUCGGGUUGUAAAGCACUUUCAGCGGGGAGGAAGGCGGUGAGGUUAAUAACCUCAUCGAUUGACGUUACCCGCAGAAGAAGCACCGGCUAACUCCGUGCCAGCAGCCGCGGUAAUACGGAGGGUGCAAGCGUUAAUCGGAAUUACUGGGCGUAAAGCGCACGCAGGCGGUCUGUCAAGUCGGAUGUGAAAUCCCCGGGCUCAACCUGGGAACUGCAUUCGAAACUGGCAGGCUAGAGUCUUGUAGAGGGGGGUAGAAUUCCAGGUGUAGCGGUGAAAUGCGUAGAGAUCUGGAGGAAUACCGGAGGCGAAGGCGGCCCCCUGGACAAAGACUGACGCUCAGGUGCGAAAGCGUGGGGAGCAAACAGGAUUAGAUACCCUAGUAGUC